RNAcentral lists this ribosomal RNA (506 nucleotides) under uncultured bacterium. Its description in RNAcentral is "partial 16S ribosomal RNA". It matches the Rfam family "Bacterial small subunit ribosomal RNA", at positions 29 to 523 of the family's 1533-position model. The record is from RNAcentral.
AGUGAACGCUGGCGGUAGGCCUAACACAUGCAAGUCGAACGGCAGCACAGGAGAGCUUGCUCUCUGGGUGGCGAGUGGCGGACGGGUGAGGAAUACAUCGGAAUCUACUCUGUCGUGGGGGAUAACGUAGGGAAACUUACGCUAAUACCGCAUACGACCUACGGGUGAAAGCAGGGGACCUUCGGGCCUUGCGCGAUUGAAUGAGCCGAUGUCGGAUUAGCUAGUUGGCGGGGUAAAGGCCCACCAAGGCGACGAUCCGUAGCUGGUCUGAGGGGAUGAUCAGCCACACUGGAACUGAGACACGGUCCAGACUCCUACGGGAGGCAGCAGUGGGGAAUAUUGGACAAUGGGCGCAAGCCUGAUCCGGCCAUACCGCGUGGGUGAAGAAGGCCUUCGGGUUGUAAAGCCCUUUUGUUGGGAAAGAAAUCCAGCUGGCUAAUACCCGGUUGGGAUGACGGUACCCAAAGAAUAAGCACCGGCUAACUUCGUGCCAGCAGCCGCCGCGG